CGUUCGUCACAAUGAAGUAUCCAUGAAAUUCCAUUUGUGAAGCUCCGUGAUACUUUGAUCAAUUCCAAUUCGUGAAGCUCUGUGAUACUUCGAUCAAUUCCGAUUCAUGAGUUCGUUUUUCUUUUUUCGAUUUCAUCUUUGAUUGGGAGUUUUUUUUUUUCUUUUAGCGUUCGUUCUUGUUUUUUCGAUUCUGUUUUUCAAUUUUUCCUAAAUAGUUUCUGGUCAUUUAGUCUUUUCUUUCUCUUUUUCUUAAGAACCUAAUGAUUUCUUCAGCUCACUGUGAACAUAAUGGAUUGUGAGCAGAGUUUGUGUGCUUUCAUGAAAUUUUUCUUUGUUCAUUGCGUUGAUAUUUAGAGUUUUGAUUGAUUAAUUAAGUUAGGGCUUGCAUUCUUCACUGUUUCAUUUGAUAUUGUAUAUUCUUUCUAUAAACAUAUCAAUGUAUUUUGAUGUUUGAUAUUUUUAGGUUUGACAUUACAGCUACAUUGGCUUUGUGUUUGUCAUUGAUAAUAUCUAUCACUGUAUUAGAAGAUAUCAGUGGCUAUCAUUGAUAAUGCCUAUCACUGAUAGAAUGUGUGAUUGCUAUCAUUUUUUAUUUGUUCAUUAAUUUUUAUUGAUAUCCAUUGAAAGACAUGCCUAGUUUUAGAUUGAUAUCAAUGAUAUUGAUAGAUUUAUAUUUGCUUUUGAUAGCUAUUAGAACCUAUUGAUAUUGUUAUUCAAUAGUUUUUGUUUUACUUUUGCAGGAAUUUUAAAACAUGAUUAUUCCAAUAGUUGUUUUUCAUAGUGGAAUAUGGAAUGAAAAACACUGUUAUGUGAAUUACAAAUCUACUGGAGUUUAGUAGAUGAUAUAAUGGUUUUUGAAGAUUUUAUGGGUUUAAUAGUUAAGGAGAUUUAUUUGGAUGUGUCUACUUCUUCUAUAGAACUUUCAGUUUUAUUAGAUUUUGUUAUGAAUAAGGUUCAAAAUGUAGUUCAAAUUCAUGAAGAUAAGGAUAUACCUUGGUUUUUGGCUUUAGUUAAGGAACACAAUACAUGACAUCCUUUGGUUGCUCAUGCUGGUAGUUCAUGUUUGGAAGUGUCUUCUAGUGUUGUUUCUAGUGGAGUUGAGAAUUAUUUGUCUACUGUUCCUUCUUCUAAACCUAUGAUUGAUGAUGGUGAUUUCCAAGUGAUUAUGGAUAUACAUAUUGCUCAUGAUUUGAAAGAAAAAAAUGUGUUUGCUAGUAAAGAGAUUUUAUCAAAUUGUUUUUACUUGAUAACGGUUAAGAAGAAUUUUGAAUUUAAGAACGUCAAAUUCAAGAGCAAUUUUGUUUCGAUGUGUUCAAGAUAGUUGUCAGUGGUAUGUGAGGGCAUCCCGUUACAAGCGGAGUGUUUUGUGGAUGCUUAGGAAGUCUAUUGAUAUUCAUGAUUGUUCUAUAAAAAGUAUUCAAACUUGUCAUAGGCAACCUUCUUCGUCCUUAAUAGCUGAAUGUUUGAGAAAUGAUUUUAGAUUUAGUUCUUCUCAUACCCCAACUCCUAGUGAUAUUGUGAAUAAAGUCCGUAAGGAAUUUGGAGUAACUAUUAGCUAUUAUAAAGCAUGGAGGGAAAAAGAGCAAAUAAUGAAGUCUUUGAAAGGCGAUGCACGGGAAUCAUAUGCCAAAGUUUUUGACGAAGUUAGAAGAAAAGAAUCCAGGUACAUUUACUGCCUAUGAAGCUGACAUAAAUUGGCAUUUUAAGUAUUGUUAUAUGGCUAUUGGAGCAUCAAUUGAGGGUUGGAAGCAUUGUAGAUCUAAUAUAUCAGUUGAUGGGACGCUCUUGAAAUGUAAAUAUGUCGAGACUCUUUUGACAGCUUCAAUAAUUGACGGUUGAUCCUAUUAACAAUGAAGAAUAUAAAGUAGUUGAUGGGGAUAAUCACUUUUUGGUAAAUUUGGCCUAUAAAUCAUGCAGUUGUCGUGUUUGGGAUUUGGUGGAGAUUCCAUGUGCUCAUGAUGUGCUGUUAUUCAUGGGCUAAAUUUAGAUAUAUGUACUUUUGUGUCAGACUACUAUUUUUGCAGUACAUUGUUAUCAACCUAUAAAGGAUCAGUUUAUCCUAUUGGAAAUCAUUCUGAUUGGAGAUCUGUCGAUGUUGGUGUGAAUGUAUUACCUCCAAUAGUUAAACGUCCAUCUGGACGACCACGUAAACAAAGAAUAUUAUCAAUUGGUGAAAAGAAAAAGAGCUCGAAGUGCAGUCGAUGUCAUCGUCAUGGCCAUAAUUGUAGGACAUACAAAUUUCCACCAGUUGUUUAAUAAAGAAGCUUGAUUUGUAAUUGAUGUUUGUAAUGAAGAAGCUCGUUUUGUAAUUGAUGUUUGUCAUCAAUUUAUCAAUGAUAGUGAGACAACCGAUGUUUUUCACCAAUUUGUCAAUUAGAUUGUAGUUGUUGCUUGUUGUCAUCAAUUUAACCAUUAGAUAGUGAGACAAUUUGUUAUUGAUGUUUGUCAUAAAUAUAUUAGAGACCUUGUUACUAAUGUUUUGUUAGUGGAACA
Benincasa hispida (wax gourd) is the source of this 2493-nucleotide non-coding RNA. Lineage: Eukaryota; Viridiplantae; Streptophyta; Magnoliopsida; Cucurbitales; Cucurbitaceae. The record is from RefSeq and is a predicted model, not a curated record.